Molecule: ribosomal RNA, 253 nt
Filed under: uncultured bacterium
Lineage: Bacteria
Description: partial 16S ribosomal RNA
Rfam family: Bacterial small subunit ribosomal RNA
Source: RNAcentral
CACGUAGGGCGCAAGCGUUGUCCGGAAUUAUUGGGCGUAAAGAGCUCGUAGGCGGUCUGUUGCGUCCGCUGUGAAAACUCGGGGCUUAACCCCGAGCCUGCAGUGGAUACGGGCAGACUAGAGGUAGGUAGGGGAGAAUGGAAUUCCCGGUGUAGCGGUGAAAUGCGCAGAUAUCGGGAAGAACACCAGUGGCGAAGGCGGCUCUCUGGGACGGUACUCACGCUGAGACGCGAAAGCGUGGGGAGCAAACAGG